AUACAGAGGGUGCGAGCGUUAAUCGGAAUUACUGGGCGUAAAGCGCGCGUAGGCGGCUUAUUAAGUCAGGUGUGAAAUCCCCGGGCUCAACCUGGGAACUGCAUCUGAUACUGGUAAGCUAGAGUUUUGGAGAGGGAAGUAGAAUUUCAGGUGUAGCGGUGAAAUGCAUAGAGAUCUGAAGGAAUACCAGUGGCGAAGGCGACUUCCUGGCCAAAAACUGACGCUGAGGUGCGAAAGCGUGGGUAGCAAACGGGAUUAGAAACCCUAGUAGUCC
Molecule: ribosomal RNA, 274 nt
Filed under: uncultured bacterium
Lineage: Bacteria
Description: partial 16S ribosomal RNA
Rfam family: Bacterial small subunit ribosomal RNA
Source: RNAcentral